CCCAACAUGAACCCUUAGAAAAGAGAGAGGAGUCCAGGCAGGAAGAUUCCGGAUUUUGCAUAAAGUGUGGUCAUCCAAAGACUCUCCAGCUAUUCAGGGGGUCCAGGCCAUCCACAGAGGUAGGAUGAUGUGACUGGCAGCGGAGCGGCCCUCCCCGUUCCGUCGCCGCCUGCCUGCCGUGCCCUCCCGCGCCUGCCGGCCGGGCUCCCUUCG
Molecule: long non-coding RNA, 213 nt
Filed under: Gallus gallus (chicken)
Lineage: Eukaryota; Metazoa; Chordata; Aves; Galliformes; Phasianidae
Source: RNAcentral